RNAcentral lists this ribosomal RNA (620 nucleotides) under uncultured phototrophic eukaryote. RNAcentral describes it as "bacterial SSU rRNA". It matches the Rfam family "Bacterial small subunit ribosomal RNA", at positions 879 to 1501 of the family's 1533-position model. The record is from RNAcentral.
AGUACGCUCGCAAGGGUGAAACUCCAAGGAAUUGACGGGGGCCCGCACAAGCGGUGGAGCAUGUGGUUUAAUUCGAUGCAACGCGAAGAACCUUACCAGGGCUUGACAUACUACAAAUUCUUUUGAGAAAAAGAAGUGCCUUCGGGAAUGUAGAUACAGGUGGUGCAUGGCUGUCGUCAGCUCGUGUCGUGAGAUGUUGGGUUAAGUCCCGCAACGAGCGCAACCCUUAUUUUUAGUUACUAAUUCGUUAGGUUCUCUAGAAAGACUGCCGGUGACAAACCGGAGGAAGGUGAGGAUGACGUCAAGUCAGCAUGCCCCUUAUGUCCUGGGCUACACACGUGCUACAAUGGUUAAGACAAAGAGUCGCGAGCUCGUGAGAGUCAGCUAAUCUCGUAAACUUAGCCUAAGUUCAGAUUGUAGGCUGCAACUCGCCUACAUGAAGUUGGAAUCGCUAGUAAUCGCAGGUCAGCCAUACUGCGGUGAAUCCGUUCCCGGGCCUUGUACACACCGCCCGUCACACCAUGGAAGCCGACUCUUCCCUAAGUCGUUACUCGAGCCCAUUGGGACGAGGAUGCCGAAGGCAGGGUUGGUGACUAGGGUGAAGUCGUAACAAGGUAACC